This 228-nucleotide ribosomal RNA is filed under the name uncultured eukaryote. RNAcentral describes it as "partial 18S ribosomal RNA". It matches the Rfam family "Eukaryotic small subunit ribosomal RNA", at positions 1208 to 1456 of the family's 1831-position model. The record is from RNAcentral.
UGAAAUCUCACCAGGCCCGGACACUGGAAGGAUUGACAGAUUUAUAGCUCUUUCUUGAUUCGGUGCGUGAUGGUGCAUGGCCGUUCUUAGUUGGUUGAGUGAUUUGUCUUGUUAAUUCCGUUAACGAACGAGACCUUAACCUGCUAAAUAGUGACGCGGUUCAUCGAACCGUGGGCCACUUCUUAGAGGGACUAUCGGAUUCAAACCGAUGGAAGUGUGAGGCAAUAA